UGUCUGGGAAACUGCCUGAUGGAGGGGGAUAACUACUGGAAACGGUAGCUAAUACCGCAUAACGUCGCAAGACCAAAGUGGGGGACCUUCGGGCCUCAUGCCAUCAGAUGUGCCCAGAUGGGAUUAGCUAGUAGGUGGGGUAACGGCUCACCUAGGCGACGAUCCCUAGCUGGUCUGAGAGGAUGACCAGCCACACUGGAACUGAGACACGGUCCAGACUCCUACGGGAGGCAGCAGUGGGGAAUAUUGCACAAUGGGCGCAAGCCUGAUGCAGCCAUGCCGCGUGUGUGAAGAAGGCCUUCGGGUUGUAAAGCACUUUCAGCGGGGAGGAAGGCGGUGAGGUUAAUAACCUCAUCGAUUGACGUUACCCGCAGAAGAAGCACCGGCUAACUCCGUG
Molecule: ribosomal RNA, 397 nt
Filed under: uncultured Gammaproteobacteria bacterium
Lineage: Bacteria; Pseudomonadati; Pseudomonadota; Gammaproteobacteria
Description: bacterial SSU rRNA
Rfam family: Bacterial small subunit ribosomal RNA
Source: RNAcentral